This 273-nucleotide ribosomal RNA is filed under the name uncultured bacterium. Its description in RNAcentral is "partial 16S ribosomal RNA". It matches the Rfam family "Bacterial small subunit ribosomal RNA", at positions 524 to 796 of the family's 1533-position model. The record is from RNAcentral.
UACAGAGGUGGCAAGCGUUGUUCGGAAUUACUGGGCGUAAAGGGCGCGUAGGCGGCCUUCUUAGUCGGACGUGAAAUCCCCGGGCUUAACUCGGGAACUGCGUCCGAUACUGGUUGGCUUGAGUUCGGGAGAGGGAUGUGGAAUUCCAGGUGUAGCGGUGAAAUGCGUAGAUAUCUGGAGGAACACCGGUGGCGAAGGCGGCAUCCUGGACCGAAACUGACGCUGAGGCGCGAAAGCCAGGGGAGCAAACGGGAUUAGAAACCCCCGUAGUCC